Molecule: ribosomal RNA, 400 nt
Filed under: uncultured bacterium
Lineage: Bacteria
Description: bacterial SSU rRNA
Rfam family: Bacterial small subunit ribosomal RNA
Source: RNAcentral
CAUUUAGUGGGGGACAACAUUCCGAAAGGAAUGCUAAUACCGCAUACGUCCUACGGGAGAAAGCAGGGGAUCUUCGGACCUUGCGCUAAAUGAUGAGCCUAAGUCGGAUUAGCUAGUUGGUGGGGUAAAGGCCUACCAAGGCGACGAUCUGUAGCGGGUCUGAGAGGAUGAUCCGCCACACUGGGACUGAGACACGGCCCAGACUCCUACGGGAGGCAGCAGUGGGGAAUAUUGGACAAUGGGCGGAAGCCUGAUCCAGCCAUGCCGCGUGUGUGAAGAAGGCCUUAUGGUUGUAAAGCACUUUAAGCGAGGAGGACGCUACUUAGAUUAAUACUCUAGGAUAGUGGACGUUACUCGCAGAAUAAGCACCGGCUAACUCUGUGCCAGCAGCCGCGGUAAU